This 253-nucleotide ribosomal RNA is filed under the name uncultured bacterium. RNAcentral describes it as "partial 16S ribosomal RNA". It matches the Rfam family "Bacterial small subunit ribosomal RNA", at positions 524 to 776 of the family's 1533-position model. The record is from RNAcentral.
UACGAGGGGGGCAAGCGUUGUUCGGAUUUAUUGGGCGCAAAGGGUGCGUAGGCGGUUUGGCAAGUCUUGUGUGAAAUCUUUGGGCUCAACCCAAAGUCUGCAUAAGAAACUGCCGGGCUUGAGUAUGGGAGAGGUGAGUGGAAUUUCCGGUGGAGCGGUGAAAUGCGUAGAGAUCGGAAAGAACACCAACGGCGAAAGCACUCUGCUGGGCCGACACUGACACUGAGAGACGAAAGCUAGGGGAGCGAAUGGG